RNAcentral lists this ribosomal RNA (207 nucleotides) under uncultured bacterium. Its description in RNAcentral is "partial 16S ribosomal RNA". It matches the Rfam family "Bacterial small subunit ribosomal RNA", at positions 568 to 774 of the family's 1533-position model. The record is from RNAcentral.
CACGUAGGCGGAUAUUUAAGUCAGGGGUGAAAUCCCAGAGCUCAACCCUGGAACUGCCUUUGAUACUGGGUAUCUUGAGUAUGGAAGAGGUAGGUGGAAUUCCGAGUGUAGAGGUGAAAUUCGUAGAUAUUCGGAGGAACACCAGUGGCGAAGGCGGCUUACUGGUCCAUUACUGACGCUGAGGUGCGAAAGCGUGGGGAGCAAACA